Mercenaria mercenaria is the source of this 620-nucleotide long non-coding RNA. RefSeq lists it as uncharacterized. The transcript is spliced from 2 exons. The record is from RefSeq and is a predicted model, not a curated record. Lineage: Eukaryota; Metazoa; Mollusca; Bivalvia; Venerida; Veneridae.
AUCACAUGUUUGAAGAGCUGGCGUUUUCCAGUAAUGCUGCCACAGAGAGGAGGAUGCAAGAAAAAUGCAGAUAAGUUUUGAACAAAUUGUUUUUUUCCUUUACAGUGUAUUUCAUUAAAUUAAAGAAGGGUGCAAGGCUGCAGUGGUUGGCCGCUGGGGCACAUGAAUGCACUGUGGUUUGGAUGUUUUCAUGUGUUGUUUGUGUCCAACAGUCAUUUGUUGUUUGCGGUAUCAGGGGCUGGGUUCUUUUCGAGGGAAAUCCCCGUUUCUAUUGAAAAGUAGCAGCAAUCGUCAUUAUUUGUUUGUUGCCGUUUUGUUGGGACGUUGUGUUUUGGAUAUUGGGUGACAGUUUUACAUGUCUCAUGUCAAAGAUUUGACACGUCGCAAAAUUCUAAUAAUUUAGGAUGAAAGCUCAAAGUUUACACUGCUUAUACAGUCAAAACUAAACGACUAUCCUCAACGAAUAAAUAAAAUAUCUUUGAACAUUUCAAGACCGAAGGCCUCAAUACGUGCAUAUUUUACAACAGCAUUAUCAACAACAUUUUAUUUGUUUCACUACUGCCUUAGAUAUACACUCUAUUACAAAUGAAAUGCAAAAAUUAAAAAAAAACGAUUGAAAA